GGGGGUGUAGCUCAGUGGUAGAGCACUUGCCCAGCACGUGAGAGGCCCUGAGUUCCAACCCCAGCACCACAA
RNAcentral lists this transfer RNA (72 nucleotides) under Ictidomys tridecemlineatus (thirteen-lined ground squirrel). RNAcentral describes it as "Spermophilus tridecemlineatus (thirteen-lined ground squirrel) tRNA". It matches the Rfam family "tRNA". Rfam says of the family: Transfer RNA (tRNA) molecules are approximately 80 nucleotides in length. Their secondary structure includes four short double-helical elements and three loops (D, anti-codon, and T loops). Further hydrogen bonds mediate the characteristic L-shaped molecular structure. tRNAs have two regions of fundamental functional importance: the anti-codon, which is responsible for specific mRNA codon recognition, and the 3' end, to which the tRNAs corresponding amino acid is attached (by aminoacyl-tRNA synthetases). tRNAs cope with the degeneracy of the genetic code in two manners: having more than one tRNA (with a specific anti-codon) for a particular amino acid; and 'wobble' base-pairing, i.e. permitting non-standard base-pairing at the 3rd anti-codon position. The record is from Rfam by way of RNAcentral. RNAcentral also lists the same sequence under 1 other name. Lineage: Eukaryota; Metazoa; Chordata; Mammalia; Rodentia; Sciuridae.